Molecule: non-coding RNA, 439 nt
Organism: Paramuricea clavata
Lineage: Eukaryota; Metazoa; Cnidaria; Anthozoa; Malacalcyonacea; Plexauridae
Source: the annotation of a GenBank genome assembly
UCCUGUAUAAUUUAUGUGUAUUUGAGCAGGUAAAGUUUUUAUAUAAAAUUUAGAUAGAUUUAAACACGAAUGAAAACGCUUAAUAGAAGAUUCCACCUAUUGACUAAAUUUUUUAGCUCGGCAAGAAGAACAAAAUCCAUCACAAUCCAAUUCUAUGAGUUGUUUCAAAAGACUAAUGAAGCUACAUUUUCUAAAAUAAGUAUGUAAAUAGUUUUGUAUGUUUGUUAUUUAUUUAAUGUUUGUUAAUUGUCUAAAUAAUAAUCACGUAAAUAGUUUGUAUUAUGUAUAUGUAUUGGUCUUAUUCUUACACGUCCCCUAUGGAAACCAUCAAAAGAUGUUAGGGCUAACGUGUUUAAAUAAAUUUUUAUGUAUGUAUGUAUAUAUAUGUAUCACCGCAGCCUAGAAAAGCAUGUUUUUUAAAAUAAGUAAAAUUGCAAAG